UGGGCUGUCGCCAAGUUGGUAAGGCACGAGACUUUGACUCUCGCAUUCGUAGGUUCGAGUCCUGCCAGCCCAG
Molecule: transfer RNA, 73 nt
Filed under: Fonticella tunisiensis
Lineage: Bacteria; Bacillati; Bacillota; Clostridia; Eubacteriales; Clostridiaceae
Rfam family: tRNA
About the family: Transfer RNA (tRNA) molecules are approximately 80 nucleotides in length. Their secondary structure includes four short double-helical elements and three loops (D, anti-codon, and T loops).
Source: Rfam by way of RNAcentral